AGUGAACGCUGGCGGUAGGCCUAACACAUGCAAGUCGAACGGCAGCACAGUAAGAGCUUGCUCUUACGGGUGGCGAGUGGCGGACGGGUGAGGAAUACAUCGGAAUCUACUUUUUCGUGGGGGAUAGCGUAGGGAAACUUACGCUAAUACCGCAUACGACCUACGGGUGAAAGCAGGGGAUCUUCGGACCUUGCGCGAUUGAAUGAGCCGAUGUCGGAUUAGCUAGUUGGCGGGGUAAAGGCCCACCAAGGCGACGAUCCGUAGCUGGUCUGAGAGGAUGAUCAGCCACACUGGAACUGAGACACGGUCCAGACUCCUACGGGAGGCAGCAGUGGGGAAUAUUGGACAAUGGGCGCAAGCCUGAUCCAGCCAUACCGCGUGGGUGAAGAAGGCCUUCGGGUUGUAAAGCCCUUUUGUUGGGAAAGAAAAGCAGCAGGUUAAUACCCCGCUGUUCUGACGGUACACAAAGAAUAAGCACCGGCUAACUUCGUG
Molecule: ribosomal RNA, 492 nt
Filed under: uncultured bacterium
Lineage: Bacteria
Description: partial 16S ribosomal RNA
Rfam family: Bacterial small subunit ribosomal RNA
Source: RNAcentral